RNAcentral lists this ribosomal RNA (880 nucleotides) under uncultured bacterium. RNAcentral describes it as "bacterial SSU rRNA". It matches the Rfam family "Bacterial small subunit ribosomal RNA", at positions 29 to 916 of the family's 1533-position model. The record is from RNAcentral.
AUGAACGCUGGCGGCGUGCCUAAUACAUGCAAGUCGGACGGAGAUUUAGUGAUAGAUCUUAGUGGCGAACGGGUGAGUAACGCGUUGGUGACCUGCCCCGAAGAGGGGGAUAACAGCUCGAAAGGGCUGCUAAAACCCCAUGGUAUCUGAUUGGUCAGAGGCGAUCAGAUGAAAGGAGAGCCCGAAAGGGAGCUCUGCUUCGGGAGGGGCCUGCGUCCCAUCAGCUAGUUGGUAGGGUAAAGGCCUACCAAGGCGAAGACGGGUAGGGGGCCUGAGAGGGUGACCCCCCACACUGGCACUGAAACACGGGCCAGACACCUACGGGUGGCAGCAGUAGGGAAUAUUGCACAAUGGGCGAAAGCCUGAUGCAGCAACGCCGCGUGCGCGAAGAAGGCCUUCGGGUUGUAAAGCGCUUUUCGGGGAGAUGAGGAAGGACAGUAUCCCCGGAAUAAGGCUCGGCUAACUACGUGCCAGCAGCCGCGGUAACACGUAGGAGCCAAGCGUUAUCCGAAUUCACUGGGCGUAAAGCGCGUGUAGGCGGCUCGGUAAGUUGGAUGUGAAAUCUCCUGGCUCAACUGGGAGAGGCCGUUCAAUACUGUCGGGCUAGAGGACGGCAGAGGGAGGUGGAAUUCCCGGUGUAGUGGUGAAAUGCGUAGAUAUCGGGAGGAACACCAGUGGCGAAGGCGGCCUUCUGGGCCGUACCUGACGCUCAGACGCGAAAGCUAGGGGAGCGAACGGGAUUAGAAACCCCGGUAGUCCUAGCCGUAAACGAUGUAGACUUGGUGUAGGUGGUGUAAAAGCCAUCUGUGCCGAAGCCAACGCGAUAAGUCUACCGCCUGGGGACUACGGCCGCAAGGUUAAAACUCAAAGGAAUUGACGG